AGUGAACGCUGGCGGUAGGCCUAACACAUGCAAGUCGAACGGCAGCACAGUAAGAGCUUGCUCUUACGGGUGGCGAGUGGCGGACGGGUGAGGAAUACAUCGGAAUCUACUUUUUCGUGGGGGAUAACGUAGGGAAACUUACGCUAAUACCGCAUACGACCUACGGGUGAAAGCAGGGGAUCUUCGGACCUUGCGCGAUUGAAUGAGCCGAUGUCGGAUUAGCUAGUUGGCGGGGUCAAGGCCCACCAAGGCGACGAUCCGUAGCUGGUCUGAGAGGAUGAUCAGCCCCACUGGAACUUAGACACGGUCCAGACUCCUACGGGAGGCAGCAGUGGGGAAUAUUGGGCAAUGGGCGCAAGCCUGAUCCAGCCAUACCGCGUGGGUGAAGAAGGCCUUCGGGUUGUAAAGCCCUUUUGUUGGGAAAGAAAAGCAGCAGGUUAAUACCCCGCUGUUCUGACGGUACCCAAAGAAUAAGCACCGGCUAACUUCGUG
This 492-nucleotide ribosomal RNA is filed under the name uncultured bacterium. Its description in RNAcentral is "partial 16S ribosomal RNA". It matches the Rfam family "Bacterial small subunit ribosomal RNA", at positions 29 to 507 of the family's 1533-position model. The record is from RNAcentral.